UCUUUUUGUAGAUAUCAAUGAGAUAUACUAUGAACCAACAAGCAGUGAAUUAACGUUUAAGCGUACUUUGAGUACGUCUCUUGUUGGGAAACAAUCAAAUAAAACUUUAAAGACUAGGUAUAAACUUAGUCUUUUUUAUUUUAA
This 144-nucleotide non-coding RNA is filed under the name unclassified sequences. RNAcentral's name for it is "DUF3800-I RNA". It matches the Rfam family "DUF3800-I RNA". From Rfam's summary of the family: Actinobacteria, Firmicutes, Fusobacteria, Proteobacteria (1 example), Tenericutes (2 examples). The record is from Rfam by way of RNAcentral.